AUGUCCAUGAUGGCCGGCCAGAGCGAGGACAACCUGCGCAAGGUGUUCGCCCAGGCCGAGGCCCGGGCGCCGUCCAUGAUCUUCAUGGACGAGAUCGACGCCAUCGCGCCCAACCACGAGAAGACGCACGGCGAGGUGGAGCGCCGCGUCGUGUCCCAGCUGCUCAUGCUCAUGGACGGCCUCCGCCCGCGCGCGCAGGUCAUGGUCAUCGGCGCCACCAACCGCCCCAACAGCCUCGACCUCGUGCUCCGGCGCGACAGCCGCUUCGACAAGGAGAUCGAUAUCGGCGUGCCCGACGAGGUCGGCCACCUCGAUAUCCUCCGCAUCCACUCCAAGGACAUGCCCCUCUCGGACGACGUCGACCUGGAGCGCAUCAGCAAGGACACGCACUGCUUCGUCGGCGCCGACCUCGCCGUGCUCUGCUCCGAGGCGGCCUUCCAGUGCAUCCGCCAGAAGAUGGACGUGAUCGACCUCGAGGCGGACACCAUCGACGUGGAGGUGCUCAACUCCAUGUCCGUGAUCAUGGACGACCUGGUGCACGCCAAGGAGGUGACCAAGCCGUCGGCGCUGCGGGAGACGGGUCUGGUGGAGGUCCCCAAGGUGUCGUGGGCGGCCUGGAGGAUGUCAAGCGGGAGCUCCAGGAGACGGUGCAGUACCGUACCGGGUGGAGCACCCAGAGAUGUUCGAGCUCUUCGGCAUGGAGCCGUCGCGAGACGUGAGCUCCUCGACUGUGACGUUGCCGGGCGACGUGCUGCUUGUCACCUCGAUGUCCGCCAGGACGGUGUCGGCCUUGCGGUUGAUAUCCGCCGGCGGCGGUCCUUAGCCCACACCUUGAACGUGUCCCGCGGCAAUGGCGAUGCCUCCGCCCUGAUGCACACCGCGGACGCGGUCGCGCCGGGGCCGAGCACACUGCCGACCAGGCGGAACGCGCGGUCAUCCUCCUCCCUGAGCAGCAGCCGCUAG
Molecule: ribosomal RNA, 963 nt
Filed under: Triticum aestivum (bread wheat)
Lineage: Eukaryota; Viridiplantae; Streptophyta; Magnoliopsida; Poales; Poaceae
Description: partial small subunit ribosomal RNA
Source: RNAcentral